GACGAACGCUGGCGGCGUGCUUAACACAUGCAAGUCGAACGGAAAGGCCCUGCUUUUGUGGGGUGCUCGAGUGGCGAGCGGGUGAGUAACACGUGAGUAACCUGCCCUUGACUUUGGGAUAACUUCAGGAAACUCGGGCUAAUACAGGGUAGGAGCUCCUGAUGCAUGGGGGGGGUUGGAAAGUUUCGGCGGUUGGGGAUGGACUCGCGGCUUAUCAGCUUGUUGGUGGGGUAGUGGCUUACCACGGCUUUGACGGGUAGCCGGCCUGGGAGGGUGACCGGCGACAUUGCGCCUGCGAGACGGCCCAGACGCCUACGGGAGGCAGCAGUGGGGAAUAUUGCGCAAUGGGCGGACGCCUGAUGCAGCAACGCCGCGUUCGUGAUGACCUCUUUCGGGUUGUAAACCGCUUUCGCCUGUGACGAAGCGUGCGUGACGGUAAUUGAUAAAGAAGCACCGGCUAACUACGUG
RNAcentral lists this ribosomal RNA (468 nucleotides) under uncultured bacterium. Its description in RNAcentral is "partial 16S ribosomal RNA". It matches the Rfam family "Bacterial small subunit ribosomal RNA", at positions 28 to 507 of the family's 1533-position model. The record is from RNAcentral.